Molecule: ribosomal RNA, 566 nt
Filed under: uncultured bacterium
Lineage: Bacteria
Description: bacterial SSU rRNA
Rfam family: Bacterial small subunit ribosomal RNA
Source: RNAcentral
UCCUACGGGAGGCAGCAGUGGGGAAUUUUCCGCAAUGGGCGAAAGCCUGACGGAGCAAUACCGCGUGAGGGAAGACGGCCUAUGGGUUGUAAACCUCUUUUUUCAGGGAGGAAUUUUGACGUGUACCUGAAGAAUAAGCAUCGGCUAACUCCGUGCCAGCAGCCGCGGUAAGACGGAGGAUGCAAGUGUUAUCCGGAAUCACUGGGCGUAAAGCGUCUGUAGGUGGUUAAGCAAGUUAACUGUUAAAUCUUGAGGCUCAACUUCAAAAUCGCAGUCGAAACUGUUUGACUAGAGUAUAGUAGGGGUAAAGGGAAUUUCCAGUGGAGCGGUGAAAUGCGUAGAUAUUGGAAAGAACACCGAUGGCGAAGGCACUUUACUGGGCUAUUACUGACACUCAGAGACGAAAGCUAGGGUAGCAAAUGGGAUUAGAUACCCCAGUAGUCCUAGCCGUAAACAAUGGAUACUAGAUGUUGAACAGAUCGACCUGUGCAGUAUCAAAGCUAACGCGUUAAGUAUCCCGCCUGGGAAGUAUGCUCGCAAGAGUGAAACUCAAAGGAAUUGACGGA